AGUGAACGCUGGCGGUAGGCCUAACACAUGCAAGUCGAACGGCAGCACAGUAAGAGCUUGCUCUUACGGGUGGCGAGUGGCGGACGGGUGAGGAAUACAUCGGAAUCUACUUUUUCGUGGGGGAUAACGUAGGGAAACUUACGCUAAUACCGCAUACGACCUACGGGUGAAAGCAGGGGAUCUUCGGACCUUGCGCGAUUGAAUGAGCCGAUGUCGGAUUAGCUAGUUGGCGGGGUAAAGGCCCACCAAGGCGACGAUCCGUAGCUGGUCUGAGAGGAUGAUCAGCCACACUGGAACUGAGACACGGUCCAGACUCCUACGGGAGGCAGCAGUGGGGAAUAUUGGACAAUGGGCGCAAGCAUGAUCCAGCCAUACCGCGUGGGUGAAGAAGGCCUUCGGGUUGUAAAGGCCUUUUGUUGGGAAAGAAAAGCAGCAGGUUAAUACCCCGCUGUUCUGACGGUACCCAAAGAAUAAGCACCGGCUAACUUCGUGC
Molecule: ribosomal RNA, 493 nt
Filed under: uncultured bacterium
Lineage: Bacteria
Description: partial 16S ribosomal RNA
Rfam family: Bacterial small subunit ribosomal RNA
Source: RNAcentral